Molecule: long non-coding RNA, 1241 nt
Organism: Pygoscelis adeliae (Adelie penguin)
Lineage: Eukaryota; Metazoa; Chordata; Aves; Sphenisciformes; Spheniscidae
Exons: 2
Source: RefSeq, a predicted model, not a curated record
ACAUAGUAUGUCCUUAUGGAGACAUCUCCUCCCAAGGAGACUUAAGAGCAGUGUCACUGCUACUCAGAGUCCCAGAGAAGGGAAAUGUUAAUGCUCCUUCUCAGCUGCAGGACAAGGAGGAGGUCUGGCACUUCUGAAGCUGGAGGCUGUGAUCCGCAGUGGUAACUAACACAGAAAACAAGCAAUGCUUGUCCAGCACCUUGGCUGUUCCUCAGUACAGAACUGUAGCAGAAAAGAAAGAGCUGCUCGGAGAAAUACGAAUAAAUGCAUCGUUCUUAUGGACAACUGUAUCUCUGAAAAACUUAAACUUUCAUAUUGAUAUGGGAGCAGAGGAAAAAUCUGGUUUUCAAUGAAGAUUGUUUGGGAAGUGAAAACAUUUUGUGCUCUGUAGCCUUGUGGUACUUUCCUAGUACUUUGAAAUCUUCUAGUGAUGUUCACGUAGAAGCAAUGGCUUGCAGUAACCCUCAAGAUAAAAUAACUGUAUGCUGAUUAUAUUCUGAGAUGGUCACGUUGAAGGCAGCAUAAGUGCAGCCUGCAUGACAAAGAGUGAAUUGUUGAAUUCAGUUAAAGCCCCAUGCUAAUUUUGACUUCUUGAGGAUCUGGGACAGAACCUUUGUGAAGUAUAGGUUUGCCCUUUUUUUUUUUUUUUUUUUUUGAAGAAACAUAUGUAUAUAUUAGCACAACUAUGGUCUAGGUCAGCGUUUCAUCUUCUGUGAUUACAUAUAUACGAACAACCAGACUCUGAAAUAAAUGUGUAUCCAACCAGAAGUAACACCUUUGAGAGCACCUUCUUUGAUCCUAGGAAGCUGAAUGAGAAUAACAUUUGGAAAAAUUAGUUAGAACCUGAUGUGUUUGAGUUUGUUUUGCUUUAGAAGACUUUUAGAAUUUCACAAAAUAAACUGGAGGCACAGCGAUACAUAACUUUGUUUCAGAGAGCCAGAACACGCAUGAGACAGUAUAACCCCUUUGGUUCAGAACUUACUUUUCUUAGCAAGCUUUUUCAGUCUCUUGUUGCAAUGAGACCUUGCUUCUGACAAUAAUUAGGUCUGACCUUGGGGAGUCAAGUUUGUCCUGAGCUUGGUAGUGAUACUGUAUUUCAACAGUGAUUGGGAAAUGUGAAAAACAGUAAUUAUUUUUCUGUAUUUUCUUCUUUUAUCUGUCAUAUGUUUCAUUUCCAUUUUAUGUGCAUGAUGUAUAUACGGGUACCUGACUUACUGUGAUAAAGUUAUCUUCUGUAUCAA